AUUGAACGCUGGCGGCAUUCCUAACACAUGCAAGUCGAACGCGUGGCGAACGGGUGAGUAAUGUCUGGGACACUGCCUGAUGGAGGGGGAUAACUACUGGAAACGGUAGCUAAUACCGCAUACCAUCCACUGUUCCCCAAUGGGCUUAGCUUGUUGGUGGGUUAACGGCUCACCAAGGCGACGAUCCCUAGCUGGUCUGAGAGGAUGACCAGCAACACUGGAACUGAGACACGGUCCAGACUCCUACGGGAGGCAGCAGUGGGGAAUCUUGCACAAUGGGCGCAAGCCUGAUGCAGCCAUGCCGCGUGUAUGAAGAAGGCCUUCGGGUUGUAAAGUACUUUCAGCGGGGAGGCGUUACCCGCAGAAGAAGCACCGGCUAACUCCGUGCCAGCAGCCGCGGUAAUAC
This 406-nucleotide ribosomal RNA is filed under the name uncultured bacterium. RNAcentral describes it as "partial 16S ribosomal RNA". It matches the Rfam family "Bacterial small subunit ribosomal RNA", at positions 30 to 526 of the family's 1533-position model. The record is from RNAcentral.